RNAcentral lists this transfer RNA (68 nucleotides) under Maesaipsyche stengeli. Its description in RNAcentral is "tRNA-Arg". The record is from RNAcentral. Lineage: Eukaryota; Metazoa; Arthropoda; Insecta; Trichoptera; Hydropsychidae.
UAAUAAGAAAUAACUUUUAUACUUAGUUUCGACCUAAAUUUAGGAAAAUUAUUAUUUUCCCUUAUUUU